GUGGGGAAUAUUCCGCAAUGGACGAAAGUCUGACGGAGCAACGCCGCGUGAGUGAUGAAGGUUUUCGGACUGUAAAGCUCUGUUGUUUAGGACGAAAGUGCCUGUUGCAAACAGUUACAGGUAUUGACGGUACUAACCGAGGAAGCCACGGCUAACUACGUGCCAGCAGCCGCGGUAAUACGUAGGUGGCAAGCGUUGUCCGGAAUUAUUGGGCGUAAAGAGCAUGUAGGCGGGAAUCUAAGUCUGUUGUGAAAAUGCGGGGCGCAACCCCGUGAUGGGAUCGAAAAUAUCUUUCUUGAGUGCAGGAGAGGAAAGUGGAAUUCCUAGUGUAGCGGUGAAAUGCGUAGAUAUUAGGAGGAACACCAGUGGCGAAGGCGACUUACUGGACUGUAACUGACGCUGAGGCGCGAAAGUGUGGGGAGCAAACAGGAUUAGAAACCCUUGUAGUCC
This 450-nucleotide ribosomal RNA is filed under the name uncultured bacterium. RNAcentral's name for it is "partial 16S ribosomal RNA". It matches the Rfam family "Bacterial small subunit ribosomal RNA", at positions 354 to 796 of the family's 1533-position model. The record is from RNAcentral.